CCCUUCCUGAGUCCGAGGCGGUGGCCAUGUGGGGUUACAGGCCAGCGGGGGGGGAGCGGGGCUGGCCAGCACUGCCAUGCCCAAGCAGCCCCGUGUCCCCGAGUCCUGCGAGCAGGGGCUGGAAGCUGGGAGAAGGUGCCUCGGGGUGGGUGCUGUCCCCGCACCUUCCACCCGCCCUGGGCCCCAGCCACACCAGGCACUCAUCCCUGCCUGUCCUCAGUGGGCAGCGGGGAGGCCAGGGGCUCACCAGAGCUGCGCCUGGCCGUGGGGGGAAGGAGCUCAGCCUGCUCCUCACACCCUGUGAGCCGGCGUCCAGCGGGCAGGGCCUGAGCCCGCCAGCCACCGUGCUGUUGCAGAGACCUCGGGGCCCCUCCUGCCACCCUCCUCCUACCAACAAAGAUGUAGACAGCCAGCUUGAGACCCACACCCCGUUCCUGCUCCCUCUGUCUCUGUCUCUGUCUCUCUGUCUCUGUCUCUGUCCCCCCAGAGGGUCCUGUGCCCCUUUCAGCCUGACCACCUACUAAAAUGACCCUUGCCAAGGUCAGUGAGGCAGCUUAGUGGUGGGGACUGACCCCGGAGCUCCUGCUUCAGUCUCUGAGACUCCAGGCCCCGUGUCCCUCCAGCCCUCACACCUGGUGCCUGUGGUCGGUCAGACGCACGUGUUCUCUGCCCUGCCUAUAUUUUCCACCUCCAGACCUUGGUCUGGCCUCUGUCACUGCCUAGAUCACCCCCACCCCAUCAUCCAACACACACGUACACAUGCGUGCACACACAUGUACGUGCAGGCACACACACGGUGCUGGUGUGGCAGGGGCCCCCCACUAGACACGGGCUCUGAGGGCGGGGCUCAUGAACAGUGUUCCUUUGUGCCCCCCAGCCUGGGGCCUGGCCUCGGUGGUCCUUGGUGGAGCGCACUGUGCCCUCUGCUCUGCCUGGCAGAGAUACCCAGCAUCAACAGGCCCUGGGACACGUGUGGUGGGAAUCCUGGGGUCUGCUGCCUUGUCAUUGAUCAGGCAGCUUUGUGCCCGCCUCGGAGGGAAGCGGGCACAGGGGAGGGAGGCCCUUCCUCCCCGAGAAGCCGAGCUGCUAUUUUAAAAGUAGUCCCCAAAUUCCUUCCCUUGAGCACCUUGGAUCUAGGUGGGCUCUAAGACCGGAAGGUGAUUUCUGGAUUAGGUCAGGGAAAGCUCUCCUGGGACACUGGGUCUGGGGCCCCCACCAUGCUGUGAGGGAGACACGGGGAGGCCCUGGUGUGCACGAAGAGACAGAGGCUCUCUGGCUAACUGCACGAGGAGCCCCCGACAGAAUGGCCCAGAUGAGCCCCCUCCAAUGCUCGACCUACAGCGGCUGCUAGAGAGAAUACGAUGAUUGACGUAAAGUAGCCUGGCUUUCGGGUGAUGGGUUAGGGCUCCCUGAGGAGAGAGUGGAGGGGUGUGCCCGUCCAAUGUGGGUGCUGGAGGGUCUGGGGGCGUCUGAGCUGGGUCCGGCUUGCGGGAAGAACGGGGCUCGUUCUCUUGGGAAGACCGCAGGGGGGCCCUGAGUUUCAGGGCGUCCCCAGCCGCCCUUCGGCUGUCCAGUCUUGGCUCACGAUUGUUGUUCAGGGAGAAUUUGACCGAUGUCCACUUCCUCCUACUCACAAAAGCAAUGCCUGCCUUUGCUCAGGUGGGCAGAGGACCCAGGAGCUGCUUUAGGAAGGAGCCGGGAAAGCGUCUGUGCCAAGGACAGACCAACGGAGAUGCCAGGGACAUGUGACACGAAGUACACCCUGUCCAAUUAAAUUAUUUAACGCGUUAGCAUUAAUUGCCAUCCUGCAAACCCGUAAGUGGUUCAAGUUUUCGCUCUUCCUCUGGCUCAGAGAGCCUUCAGCCGGUGCCCAGGCUGGGAAUGUAUUUUCCUAUUUCCUCCUGUUCCUUGGUGAAGAGGACGCCUGGGGGAGGGGCUCCCUGUGUACGAGCCAGCGGUUUCCCCGACACCUGCUGCACCCAGCAGGGACGUUUCGUAUUCUGUCGACCCCCCUCCUGUCUUCUAUGUCUGUGCCUGCCUGGAUGCACGUUUGUAUUCCCAGAAUUAGGCGCCUCCACAGGGACCAGCCCAGCGCCCUCGGGGUAGGUGUGACGGUGGCGUUUUAGUGUCCCGAGGCUGCCAGAACAAAGUGCUGCAUGCUAGGGGCUCCAACCACAGAGGCCGCCCCCCACCCCAGGCCUCUCUCCUGGGCACCCGUGCAGAUGCCGUCCUCCAGAUCUCUCCUUACAAGGACACGGACCGGAGUGGGGCACACCCCACUGACCUCAUUUGACCUGAUCACCUCUGUGAAAACCCCCCCUUCCAAAUACAGUCACCCCAACACCCCGGGGGUUAGAGCUUCAACAUUGGGUUUGGGGGACACAAUUCAGCCAUACAGUGUGGCUUCUCUGUUGCCACCUGCCCUGAACCCAGGGCCGUAGAGGGCAGGUGAGGCUGCCCUGGAGGCCGUAGAAAAUGCUGUGGGCGACCAGACCCCACUUAGGAUGGGGGUGGGGGCUGCUGGCAGCUGACAGCCGAGCCCCUUUCCCAGGCUGCGCCUCCCCCAGGGUUGGCCCGCCGCACCACCCCACCCCCACCCCCUAGCCUCGGCUGGACCGCAGUGAGGGCCGUCAUAGCUCCAGAACCUCCCGCGGGGCCAUGGAGACCUCGGCUGUGGCUGCGGCUUUCCCCCUGCUCCGUCCCUCCCCACAGGGUGGUGCCGAGACCCCCCCUGUGACCUCCUGCGGCAAAUCUCCACCCGGCCCCCAGGGCAGCCUCUCCUGGCUGGGGGGAGACCCACGUCCUCCGUGUCUGAGACUCUCCCUUUGCUGAAACAGAAACGCCAGUGCAGGCCCGGGAGACCACGGUGCAGACAGAACACAGCACCCCGGCGACCGGUGUCCAGGGGAAUGAACGGCUCAGUCCUGCUCGCCACAAACAAGCCGCGGGCCCGUAAGCCCUGGCGCACAGCACGGCCCGUGGAAAGACGCACGGCAUCAUCAUUUGCUGACGUGCGGAUCCACCUCGGCGAGCCCGGCGCCCAGCCAGGAGGCGGCUGGAAUCAGCACACAGGUCGCAGGAAGCGUUGGCGUGAACGCGGUGGGGAAGCGGAGCCCCACUCACGCCGGCCGGGGGGGUACAGGGUGCAGCCCCCGGGCACAGCCGCCUGGCAGAUCCUCAGACGCCCAACUGUGAGGUUUCCAUAGCAACCCAGCAGCUCCAGCGCUCCGCGUGCGCCCAAGAGGGAUGGCGGGGUGUCCGUGCAGAACCCACACGCGGACGCUGGCGGCAGCCAGAGCUGGAGACAACGACGGGUCCGCCAAACGCGGUCCAGCCCCCGGCGGGGUGUCACUCGGGCUCAGCAAGGAGCGAAGCGUGGACGCGGCCGCGUGGACGAGCCUUGAAACCACGGCGUGGGGAUGAUGGCUUUUUGGGAAAGGAGGGCUGUGCCACCAUUCAGAUUUCUCUGCCCCGUCCCCAGGACUUUGCCCCAAAUGGGUGACCGAGCACACACGGAUCCGCAGGCACCACCCGCGAGGACACCAGAUCCACAGACCCCACGCAGCUUCCAUCAUGUGAUGUGCUCCCUGGAGAACGUUCUCCGGAGCUUCCUCGCUGAACCCGCUGAAGUCCUUGCUCAUCAUUCCACGUGGCCACACACACCAUGUCCAACAUUUCCAUGGCUCUUCUGCUGAAACGAUUUCACCAGGGUUAACUCAUCUACAUGAAAGAUGCCCCAGGCUGGGCUACCCGGUCCAUUGUAGCACAGGUCACGUUGUCAAAACUGGCCAAUUACAGCGUCUGCUCUCUCUUGGGGUCUCUAUGUCCAGCUGUCCAGCUACCCUGGGAGCUCCGAAGCCCUGACAUGGCCAGGCGGAACUUUUCCUUCCUUCCAUCAACCUUUAGCUGACGUGCAGCCCUGGGCUGAGCCCCACAGCAGCAUGCAGGCCCCGAGCAAAGAUGGGCCUAGAACCUGAGCAAGAACAACGUUCUUGGGGCCAAAGUCCCCAGGACCGGCUGGUCACUCUCAUCAGCAGCCUGUGCCUGUGCCUAACCCUGGCCUUGUUCUUCCCCUCCAUCCAGUGACAAUCAGGGACGUGACUCCGGCCAUCUCAGUCCUUCCCUCCGUGUGGUGAGGGUCAUGGAUGUGACCUGGGCCGCCCCGUCUCCCUUCCCCUCUGUCCAGUGGGGUGGAGAUGAUGGUGGGCUUCGCUUGUACCAGGGCUCCCUGCCCCUGCCAUCUCCCAAAGCAAACCUCUCCCCGCCUUCAGUAUUUGACCCACAUUGUGUAACGAAUGUGACAAGGGCUGUGGGCCAAUUUCUGUCCCCGGGACCAUCUGUUGUUUGCGAGCAGCGUGCAGUUGUCUCCACCUUCCGAGGCGGACAGCCCCUCGGACUGGCCUGGCCCUGCUCUGGCUGCCUGACUAGCAGCCCCCCAGCCCCACCUGCCACUCUGACCCGAUCCUGGGCUUGGGCCCAUGAGUUCCCAUCAGGAGUCGUCUCCAGAAUUGGCCCUAAUUGUUGGCUACUUGGCAGCUCUUGGGGACACUGAGGAGAUGUGAGGGUCCUGCACCUGCCUCCUCGUGGCUGGAAAGAGCCCACCUCAUUUGUGGUCCCUGCCUGGGGAGGAUCCUGUUCGGGGAGGACCCUGCCUGGGGAGGACUGAGGGCAAGCGGGGACAGUCAGGGUGGAGGCCUUUGGGAUGACCCAAUCUGCAGACUCUGGUGAGGGUGCAGCCCUGUCCAGCCAGCCAUCCCACAGGGUGGGCAGGCACCUCCACCCCGCCACACCCAGGACCUCAUCGGGGGUCCCAACAGACACUUCUUCUCCCUCAAGCCUCGCUCUGUCACUGAAGCGGCUCUGGGGCAGUCCCCCCCUCCCCUUUACAAACUUGCGUCUUUGUCCUGGGAAGAAAGAGUCCUGUGUGCUUGCUAGCAAAAAUCAAAGGGGUUUGAAGAAUAACUGUUUUCCUAAGUUUUAGCUGACAUUCAAUUUUAAUGACUUUUUAAACAAAGUAACUAUUAAACGUGGGCUGUUUUAUGGUC
This is a long non-coding RNA of Neofelis nebulosa (Clouded leopard), 5045 nucleotides long. RefSeq lists it as uncharacterized. The record is from RefSeq and is a predicted model, not a curated record. The transcript is spliced from 2 exons. Lineage: Eukaryota; Metazoa; Chordata; Mammalia; Carnivora; Felidae.